GAUGAAGAACGUAGCGAAAUGCGAUAAGUAGUGUGAAUUGCAGAAUUCAGUGAAUCAUCGAAUCUUUGAACGCACAUUGCGCCCCUUGGUAUUCCAUGGGGCAUGCCUGUUCGAGCGUCAUUUGUACCUUCAAGCUCUGCUUGGUGUUGGGUGUUUGUCUCGCCUCUGCGUGUAGACUCGCCUUAAAACAAUUGGCAGCCGGCGUAUUGAUUUCGGAGCGCAGUACAUCUCGCGCUUUGCACUCAUAACGACGACGUCCAAAAGUACAUUUUUACACUCUUGACCUCGGAUCAGGUAGGGAUACCCGCUGAACUUAAGCAUAUCAAUAAGCUGAGGA
This 337-nucleotide unclassified non-coding RNA is filed under the name soil metagenome. Its description in RNAcentral is "partial contains 5.8S ribosomal RNA, internal transcribed spacer 2, and large subunit ribosomal RNA". The stretch from base 1 to 120 matches the Rfam family "5.8S ribosomal RNA", at positions 35 to 154 of the family's 154-position model. The record is from RNAcentral.